RNAcentral lists this ribosomal RNA (461 nucleotides) under uncultured bacterium. Its description in RNAcentral is "partial 16S ribosomal RNA". It matches the Rfam family "Bacterial small subunit ribosomal RNA", at positions 29 to 523 of the family's 1533-position model. The record is from RNAcentral.
AACGAACGCUGGCGGCAGGCUUAACACAUGCAAGUCGAACGAGCUGGGAACUUCGGUUCCCGAUGCUAGUGGCGCACGGGUGAGUAACACGUGGGAACGUACCCUUUAGUACGGAAUAACUCAGGGAAACUUGAGCUAAUACCGUAUGACUCCUUCGGGAGAAAGAUUUAUCGCUAAGGGAACGGCCCGCGUCUGAUUAGGUAGUUGGUAGGGUAACGGCCUACUAAGCCGACGAUCAGUAGCUGGUCUGAGAGGAUGAUCAGCCACACUGGGACUGAGACACGGCCCAGACUCCUACGGGAGGCAGCAGUGGGGAAUAUUGGACAAUGGGGGCAACCCUGAUCCAGCCAUGCCGCGUGAGUGAAGAAGGCCUUCGGGUUGUAAAGCUCUUUCGACGGGGACGAUGAUGACGGUACCCGUAUAAGAAGCCCCGGCAAACUUCGUGCCAGCCGCCGCAGUAA